RNAcentral lists this ribosomal RNA (468 nucleotides) under uncultured bacterium. RNAcentral's name for it is "partial 16S ribosomal RNA". It matches the Rfam family "Bacterial small subunit ribosomal RNA", at positions 28 to 507 of the family's 1533-position model. The record is from RNAcentral.
GACGAACGCUGGCGGCGUGCUUAACACAUGCAAGUCGAACGGAAAAGCCCAGCUUGCGGGGUGGGCUCGAGGGGCAAGGGUGUGUGUAACGUGAGUAAACUGUCCCUAACUCUGGGGUAAGACUGGGAGAAAGGGGGUCUAAUCGGAUAGGAGCGCUCAUCGUGCGGGGGGGGGUUGGGAGAGUUUUGGCGGUUGGGGAUGGACUCGCGGCAUAUCAGCUUGUUGGUGGGGUAGUGGCUUACCAAGGCGGUGACGGGUAGCCGGCCUGAGAGGGUGACCGGCCACACUGGGACUGAGACACGGCCCAGACUCCUACGGGAGGCAGCAGUGGGGAAUAUUGCACAAUGGGCGGAAGCCUGAUGCAGCGACGCCGCGUGAGGGAUGACGGCCUUCGGGUUGUAAACCGCUUUCGGUAGUGAAGAAGCGAAAGUGACGGUACCUGCUGAAGAAGCACCGGCUAACUACGUG